This 253-nucleotide ribosomal RNA is filed under the name uncultured bacterium. RNAcentral describes it as "partial 16S ribosomal RNA". It matches the Rfam family "Bacterial small subunit ribosomal RNA", at positions 524 to 776 of the family's 1533-position model. The record is from RNAcentral. RNAcentral also lists the same sequence under 1 other name.
UACGGGGGGGGCAAGCGUUGUUCGGAAUUACUGGGCGUAAAGGGCUCGUAGGCGGCCCACUAAGUCAGAUGUGAAAUCCCCAGGCUCAACCUGGGAACUGCAUCUGAUACUGGUGGGCUUGAAUUCGGGAGAGGGAUGCAGAAUUCCAGGUGUAGCGGUGAAAUGCGUAGAUAUCUGGAGGAAUACCGGUGGCGAAGGCGGCAUCCUGGACCGACAUUGACGCUGAGGAGCGAAAGCUAGGGGAGCAAACGGG